RNAcentral lists this long non-coding RNA (1024 nucleotides) under Phoenix dactylifera (date palm). RNAcentral's name for it is "long non-coding RNA (PDAC_LNC013596)". Lineage: Eukaryota; Viridiplantae; Streptophyta; Magnoliopsida; Arecales; Arecaceae. The record is from RNAcentral.
GAGGCUCAUUAUCUCUCUAUUGGGGCUCCUCAAGGAGUAAUCUCCAGAAUCUAUUCAAGGGAUAUUCGGAGAAUAGUUGAAUCAUAUUCAAGAACAAAUCGUUAGAUUUUUCCUUCUAUAAUUAAGAACUUAAGUUCAAGUUUAAAACAUUAAAAGAAAAUUCAGAAAACUAGAACAAAGUUCAAACAAAAUUGAAUGCACAUGUUGAGGGGGAGAAUCUGAAAUUUUAAGAAAGCAAAUUCAUUAAAAACUUAUAAGCCAAACAAUUGAUUGCAUGAUUUGAAGAUUUAUAUAAUUCCAAAUGAAAGGGGGAGCUUUAAUUUGAGAGUUUACUGACUCAUACCUUUCAAUUUUGGAUAAAUUAAAUGACUAGACAUUUGAAUUCAUUUCAAAACUUCGCUAUGAAUCACUUCUUGGAUGAGCAAUUCACUUUACAAAUACUCAAUGUUUUGUCAUCAUUAAAAAGGGGAGAUUGUGGAGUGAUUGAGUAUACCCCUAUUUGAUUUUGAUGAGCUCAAAGCAUUUGAGUAUAUUUUAUGUUGUACUAAUGAAUUCAAUCUAGUGUUUCAGGCAAAUAUAUGUGAAUUUCUGUUUAAGUGCCUCGAGCUUUGGUUCAAAGUAAUUCGGCUAAGUGUUGGACUCAAUUUGAACCAAAGUCUGAAUCCCGAGUCGACUUCGGAAGAUUACGAGUCGACUUCGAGUGUUUUAAAGGUUCUGGCACAAGCUCGAGUCGACUCUGGUACUCUACGAGUUGACUCCGGUACUCUACGAGUCGACUCCGACUGAGAACAGACAGAAAGACAGAAAGAAGAAUUUCAGACCCUGUCAGCGAGUCGACUCCAAAAAGUUUCGAGUCGACUCUGAUGCUAGCCGAGUCGACUCCCUAUGGUUCCGAGUCGACUCCAAAGAGUAACAGACAGAAAGACAGAACGAUGGAUUUUAGACUCUGUUACCGAAUCGACUCGAGAAGGUUACGAGUCGACUCUGAAGUUUUGGCGAGUCGACUCCUAGUUAUGUCCGAAUC